RNAcentral lists this ribosomal RNA (3022 nucleotides) under Staphylococcus aureus. RNAcentral's name for it is "23S ribosomal RNA". It matches the Rfam family "Bacterial large subunit ribosomal RNA". The record is from RNAcentral. Lineage: Bacteria; Bacillati; Bacillota; Bacilli; Caryophanales; Staphylococcaceae.
GAUUAAGUUAUUAAGGGCGCACGGUGGAUGCCUUGGCACUAGAAGCCGAUGAAGGACGUUACUAACGACGAUAUGCUUUGGGGAGCUGUAAGUAAGCUUUGAUCCAGAGAUUUCCGAAUGGGGAAACCCAGCAUGAGUUAUGUCAUGUUAUCGAUAUGUGAAUACAUAGCAUAUCAGAAGGCACACCCGGAGAACUGAAACAUCUUAGUACCCGGAGGAAGAGAAAGAAAAUUCGAUUCCCUUAGUAGCGGCGAGCGAAACGGGAAGAGCCCAAACCAACAAGCUUGCUUGUUGGGGUUGUAGGACACUCUAUACGGAGUUACAAAGGACGACAUUAGACGAAUCAUCUGGAAAGAUGAAUCAAAGAAGGUAAUAAUCCUGUAGUCGAAAAUGUUGUCUCUCUUGAGUGGAUCCUGAGUACGACGGAGCACGUGAAAUUCCGUCGGAAUCUGGGAGGACCAUCUCCUAAGGCUAAAUACUCUCUAGUGACCGAUAGUGAACCAGUACCGUGAGGGAAAGGUGAAAAGCACCCCGGAAGGGGAGUGAAAUAGAACCUGAAACCGUGUGCUUACAAGUAGUCAGAGCCCGUUAAUGGGUGAUGGCGUGCCUUUUGUAGAAUGAACCGGCGAGUUACGAUUUGAUGCAAGGUUAAGCAGUAAAUGUGGAGCCGUAGCGAAAGCGAGUCUGAAUAGGGCGUUUAGUAUUUGGUCGUAGACCCGAAACCAGGUGAUCUACCCUUGGUCAGGUUGAAGUUCAGGUAACACUGAAUGGAGGACCGAACCGACUUACGUUGAAAAGUGAGCGGAUGAACUGAGGGUAGCGGAGAAAUUCCAAUCGAACCUGGAGAUAGCUGGUUCUCUCCGAAAUAGCUUUAGGGCUAGCCUCAAGUGAUGAUUAUUGGAGGUAGAGCACUGUUUGGACGAGGGGCCCCUCUCGGGUUACCGAAUUCAGACAAACUCCGAAUGCCAAUUAAUUUAACUUGGGAGUCAGAACAUGGGUGAUAAGGUCCGUGUUCGAAAGGGAAACAGCCCAGACCACCAGCUAAGGUCCCAAAAUAUAUGUUAAGUGGAAAAGGAUGUGGCGUUGCCCAGACAACUAGGAUGUUGGCUUAGAAGCAGCCAUCAUUUAAAGAGUGCGUAAUAGCUCACUAGUCGAGUGACACUGCGCCGAAAAUGUACCGGGGCUAAACAUAUUACCGAAGCUGUGGAUUGUCCUUUGGACAAUGGUAGGAGAGCGUUCUAAGGGCGUUGAAGCAUGAUCGUAAGGACAUGUGGAGCGCUUAGAAGUGAGAAUGCCGGUGUGAGUAGCGAAAGACGGGUGAGAAUCCCGUCCACCGAUUGACUAAGGUUUCCAGAGGAAGGCUCGUCCGCUCUGGGUUAGUCGGGUCCUAAGCUGAGGCCGACAGGCGUAGGCGAUGGAUAACAGGUUGAUAUUCCUGUACCACCUAUAAUCGUUUUAAUCGAUGGGGGGACGCAGUAGGAUAGGCGAAGCGUGCGAUUGGAUUGCACGUCUAAGCAGUAAGGCUGAGUAUUAGGCAAAUCCGGUACUCGNNNNNNNNNNNNNNNNNNNNNNNNNNNNNNNNNNNNNNNNNNNNNNNNNNNNNNNNNNNNNNNNNNNNNNNNNNNNNNNNNNNNNNNNNNNNNNNNNCAUUAAGGCUGAGCUGUGAUGGGGAGAAGACAUUGUGUCUUCGAGUCGUUGAUUUCACACUGCCGAGAAAAGCCUCUAGAUAGAAAAUAGGUGCCCGUACCGCAAACCGACACAGGUAGUCAAGAUGAGAAUUCUAAGGUGAGCGAGCGAACUCUCGUUAAGGAACUCGGCAAAAUGACCCCGUAACUUCGGGAGAAGGGGUGCUCUUUAGGGUUAACGCCCAGAAGAGCCGCAGUGAAUAGGCCCAAGCGACUGUUUAUCAAAAACACAGGUCUCUGCUAAACCGUAAGGUGAUGUAUAGGGGCUGACGCCUGCCCGGUGCUGGAAGGUUAAGAGGAGUGGUUAGCUUCUGCGAAGCUACGAAUCGAAGCCCCAGUAAACGGCGGCCGUAACUAUAACGGUCCUAAGGUAGCGAAAUUCCUUGUCGGGUAAGUUCCGACCCGCACGAAAGGCGUAACGAUUUGGGCACUGUCUCAACGAGAGACUCGGUGAAAUCAUAGUACCUGUGAAGAUGCAGGUUACCCGCGACAGGACGGAAAGACCCCGUGGAGCUUUACUGUAGCCUGAUAUUGAAAUUCGGCACAGCUUGUACAGGAUAGGUAGGAGCCUUUGAAACGUGAGCGCUAGCUUACGUGGAGGCGCUGGUGGGAUACUACCCUAGCUGUGUUGGCUUUCUAACCCGCACCACUUAUCGUGGUGGGAGACAGUGUCAGGCGGGCAGUUUGACUGGGGCGGUCGCCUCCUAAAAGGUAACGGAGGCGCUCAAAGGUUCCCUCAGAAUGGUUGGAAAUCAUUCAUAGAGUGUAAAGGCAUAAGGGAGCUUGACUGCGAGACCUACAAGUCGAGCAGGGUCGAAAGACGGACUUAGUGAUCCGGUGGUUCCGCAUGGAAGGGCCAUCGCUCAACGGAUAAAAGCUACCCCGGGGAUAACAGGCUUAUCUCCCCCAAGAGUUCACAUCGACGGGGAGGUUUGGCACCUCGAUGUCGGCUCAUCGCAUCCUGGGGCUGUAGUCGGUCCCAAGGGUUGGGCUGUUCGCCCAUUAAAGCGGUACGCGAGCUGGGUUCAGAACGUCGUGAGACAGUUCGGUCCCUAUCCGUCGUGGGCGUAGGAAAUUUGAGAGGAGCUGUCCUUAGUACGAGAGGACCGGGAUGGACAUACCUCUGGUGUACCAGUUGUCGUGCCAACGGCAUAGCUGGGUAGCUAUGUGUGGACGGGAUAAGUGCUGAAAGCAUCUAAGCAUGAAGCCCCCCUCAAGAUGAGAUUUCCCAACUUCGGUUAUAAGAUCCCUCAAAGAUGAUGAGGUUAAUAGGUUCGAGGUGGAAGCAUGGUGACAUGUGGAGCUGACGAAUACUAAUCGAUCGAAGACUUAAUCAA